GAUGAACGCUGGCGGCGUGCUUAACACAUGCAAGUCGAACGAAGCACUUUAUUUGAUUUCCUUCGGGACUGAUUAUUUUGUGACUGAGUGGCGGACGGGUGAGUAACGCGUGGGUAACCUGCCUUGUACAGGGGGAUAACAGUUGGAAACGGCUGCUAAUACCGCAUAAGCGCACAGCAUCGCAUGAUGCAGUGUGAAAAACUCCGGUGGUAUAAGAUGGACCCGCGUUGGAUUAGCUAGUUGGUGAGGUAACGGCCCACCAAGGCGACGAUCCAUAGCCGACCUGAUAGGGUGACCGGCCACAUUGGGACUGAGACACGGCCCAAACUCCUACGGGAGGCAGCAGUGGGGAAUAUUGCACAAUGGGCGAAAGCCUGAUGCAGCGACGCCGCGUGAGCGAAGAAGUAUUUCGGUAUGUAAAGCUCUAUCAGCAGGGAAGAUAAUGACGUUACCUGACUAAGAAGCACCGGCUAAAUACGG
Molecule: ribosomal RNA, 480 nt
Filed under: uncultured bacterium
Lineage: Bacteria
Description: partial 16S ribosomal RNA
Rfam family: Bacterial small subunit ribosomal RNA
Source: RNAcentral